UAGGGAAUCUUCGGCAAUGGGGGCAACCCUGACCGAGCAACGCCGCGUGAGUGAAGAAGGUUUUCGGAUCGUAAAGCUCUGUUGUAAGAGAAGAACGUGUGUGAGAGUGGAAAGUUCACACAGUGACGGUAACUUACCAGAAAGGGACGGCUAACUACGUGCCAGCAGCCGCGGUAAUACGUAGGUCCCGAGCGUUGUCCGGAUUUAUUGGGCGUAAAGCGAGCGCAGGCGGUAUAAUAAGUCUGAAGUUAAAGGCAGUGGCUUAACCAUUGUUCGCUUUGGAAACUGUUAAACUUGAGUGCAGAAGGGGAGAGUGGAAUUCCAUGUGUAGCGGUGAAAUGCGUAGAUAUAUGGAGGAACACCGGUGGCGAAAGCGGCUCUCUGGUCUGUAACUGACGCUGAGGCUCGAAAGCGUGGGGAGCAAACAGG
This 429-nucleotide ribosomal RNA is filed under the name bacterium. Its description in RNAcentral is "partial 16S ribosomal RNA". It matches the Rfam family "Bacterial small subunit ribosomal RNA", at positions 355 to 776 of the family's 1533-position model. The record is from RNAcentral.